CGAGCGAGAGGGGCCGGGGAAAGGAGGGAGCGAGGGAGCGCCCGGGACUCGCGACGGCGGCAGGUUCAAUUAGCUAAACAAAGAAAUCAUGGCGGAUUGUUUACAUUUGGCAGCGCCCGGGCCGAGCAACCGCCGGCCCCCAGCCGCCGCCGCGGCCCCCGAGGAGUCGGCGAGCUGCCCCCGCGCCCCGGCCGGAGAUUUGGAACUAUCGCUUUGCUGAAAACAUCUGGCUGCCGGUCUAGAAUCUGACUCAAGAUUCUCUAUCUACUGUGGUGAUGCUAUUAUUUGGAACUUACCGAUUUGGGCUCCUUCCAGACCUGAAAACUGAUUACAAAUAUGAAACAGAUUUCACUACUGGACUGAAGCUCCACAUAAAAAAGAAGAAGAUCUUCAAAAUAAUUGAAAAGGGUCCUCACCAAAGAAUAGAUGCAAUGUGACUGGCAGGAUAUGAAGGAGAGCUACCACUGCCAAAGGCUACUGACUAGUUGCAGUGCUCACAAGUGAAGAAUAUGGCGUCUAAAGGUGACCCUCCCCAUAAAGCUGGGACCCUAAAGAGCCACACUCUCAAUUAUCCCACACGGAGCUGUUGGAAUUACCUUAUGAUGAUUUCAAAGAACAUUUUCUUCUCUACACACUCUUAUCCCAAGAGCACCUCCCUGAUGGAGUCAGAAGAAGUAAGUUUGGAGUCGCACAGAACCGGACUUCAGUUCAAUGCUUUGUUCAUGACUGUGUCACCUUGCAUAGGUCACUCAACCUUUCAGAGCCUCAGUCUGCCAGUAAACAGAGGGAAGAACAUACCAAGGAAGUCACAAUGAGAAAAGGAAGCAGCCAGGCCUGAGGUUCCCUGAGGUAGUGAGCACUAAACAUGUGGCAAGCAUUAAACACAUUUAAAGGGAGAUGUGUCUUCGAGAUACCUAGGAGACCAGAAGCUGAUUUCCAUUGGAAGAUGCUGGGUUGUGAUCCAGAGCAGAAAACACAAUAAAAAGAAGAGCCCGAGGAUUUGAGAGAAGGUUUGGAACGUGGCGAUGGAGGAAUAACAUUCCUAGGAGAAGUGAAGAUACUUUCUCCUCCCUGGUCCACCUGAGCAUGCAGCAUCCAGUGAAAGUGAUGAGAGGAUAUGGUGUUUGUGAAGUGUACACAUGCAGUGACACCCUCACCUUCCUAACAUCUACAGAUGCCAUCGCAGACAUUUUUCAAGCCCUCUUUUUGCCAUACACACAGCUUGGAAUACUUUGGUAGUGACACGUGCUAAUUCAGGCAGACUACCAGCUCACUGCCUUGCUGCCCUCCACGGCUCUUCCUCCCGUCCCCACGAUUGACCUUUGGGUGGAAAGCUGCUUCUUUCCUUUCCUUGUAGGGGUUUCCCUACACUGAAAAGACAGGACCAUCUGAGGGAAAGGUAGUCACUGCCCACCCCUUGAAUUUUCAAAUUUACAUUGACAUUACUAAGAGCCAGUGGGCUUAAUCUAUAUUGGAGCUUCAAGAAUUAAAGCUGAUUUUUAUUGCCAAACAAUCCGUGGAGUUUGUGGCAGCUCUGAGACGACAGCUGGCCCAGGCAGGCCUGUUAACUCUGGCAUGUUAAGCACCCUUCAGAAGAUUUCAAAUCCAGCCUCAGCACCCAGGUUAGUAGAUCAAAUCCAGGGAGACCUCAGGGAGGCAGUGGGGGCGGAAAGAAAGGGGAACAUGGGGAGUAAGGAAGACAAGAAAAGUCAAAGUACAGGAAUGCCUGUAAACCAAACAUCAAUAGCUGUUUUUGUUUCCCUGAACCAGUGUUUCCCCUGGGAACCUCAAGUGUAAAAGACCCAGUCUGGAAAGGAGUACACCCAUGAUCAAAGUGGCCACAAAUGAUGGUCCCAGGCUGAUGUUUGUACUAUGAUUGCAGGAACCUUUCUUCCCAGGAUGAGGUACAGCCUCCAUCCUGAAGGACCAGCCCUGAGCAUCUUCCUGAAGCAUGUCUUAGGCCUAUUCCCUAAGGAUGGCCCAUCGCUGAGCUGGGCUUUGCCUGUCUCCCUCUGGGGCCCAGACGUGAUCAUGCCCUGACCAACGGCCUGCUGUUUGUUUGCUGCUCUUGUGAGAUGUUUAUAAUGUUGAAUCUUGGCAGGCACUCUCUUCCUUUUGUCUCAUCUGUCCUCUUCCAUGAAGGCAGAAGCACUUCAAGGGCAGAGACUGUGCUUAUAAGCGGAGCAACAGAGGCAGGGCAGGCUUCACUGUGGUAAAACGUGAUAACGAAAAUGCCCACGUGGGGGAAGAAAUGUUGAAUUCUCAGAAGUGACAAAGCUCUCAAAAAUGUGGAAACUGAGUUUCAACAAUUUGGAAUGAUCUGCCCAGUGCCACCAAUAACUAAUAGAACAGGAAUGGAACUCAAGUUUUCAGCUUCUCAUGGUACUCCUUUAGGGACUGAAAUUUUGAAUAUUGAAUCUUAAGCUGAGAUGUUUCAAAAAGAGAAUGGAAUAUUUUCUACCAAAUUAUUCGGCCGGUGUAAGAUACCGGAGAACACCAUGAUUUAUGUAGGCUCUGAAUCCACAAGGUUAGUUGACAAGCAUGGGCCAAUACUGUCUAUCAAACAAAACUGUAGUGCCAGAUAAUAUCUUGGCUAUAAGUAGAAGAAGAGCAACUCAGAGUCUGUUUAUGUAUUAAUCAAGGCAUCAGACUCAGGCCACUCCUGCAGCUACUCAACUCUGCAGCCAUUGUAGCAAGGAAAGCAGCCACAUACAAUACGUAAGCAAGUGGACUAGGCUAGAUUUAGCCCGUGGGCCCUAGUUUGGUGACUUCUGAUCUGGUUCAAUGCUUGCUGUUUUUCAAAUCUUCUGACAAAAGACCAUUUGGCUGAAGUCUUCGGAAUGGCGAGAGCAGUCCUUAAUGAAUAGUGUUAUUGGUGUUUUUGAUCACACAUACUAUAUAUGGAUCAAGAAAAAAUAAAUGACAAUAUAACUCAGAAUUCACUGCCUAUAUUUGUAAUGUUCAAGUUGAAUUAUAGGAAUAUGGAUUGCGUGGUGAGUAAAUACUGCAAUGAUCCUACCAAAAAUAAUGUUCAAACAAAAAAAAAAAUUGAAUUUCAGUGACUCAGGGAGACUAAUUUAAAGUCAAAAUAUCAAGAGACCACUCAAUUCUCCUGAGAGUUCUCCAUCCACUUCCAGAUGACAGCACCAAGACAAAGACAAGCUGAGUUGGUUGAUCCACGCCAAGUUUCCUCACACGUGAAGACUUGAGUCACGUGAGGUGCCUGGUCAGAAUCUAAGCUGAGCCUGCUGCCAUCUUUGUUGGCCAUGAAGAAGUGUAAACCCCGGACUGUAUCCAGCUUCGGAAGCAAUUCAACUACUGGCAAGAGUUUUUCGGAAAGCAGUUGUGGCCCUCAGAGUCAGUUGUAAACAAACAUCUGGAACUUCCACCUGCUUCCAAAUACCAUUACAAGACUUCGUCACAUUUGAAAAGACAGUGAUGAUGAUAAUAAUGACCCAGCAGGAAACUGGCCGUGACCCUUUGGGUGAGUGAAGAUUGGGUGACAGUUCCUUUGCUUCUUCUCCUCCACUGGCUCCCUUCUGCCCAGGUGUGAUUUUUCUCUCUGUAGUGGUUUUUGAGUAUUUGAAUGGUAGGUCACACAACUUCAAGGCUGUUAUUUUCAAGUUUUAAUAAUGUUUGGCAACUCACUUCCUGUUUCUCAGCUGACAACCUUGCCAAAAGCAUUCCUUGUCAGGUACUAAUUUGGCUGACAUGACGACCACUUGAUCUAAAUUUUUGGUGUGUAAUUAUGACUCAGAAGUGAGUAAUUUUUUGAUAUCCAGUGGCAGUCAGAAAGGUGGGUAUUUUACUACCCACUCAUUAGAGAUUCUCCAGUAGUGAAAUGUCCUGAAUUUUGAUCUGUUUGCAGACAGAAGAAAAAUCUGACUGCUCAAAUGAAAAGCAACUUCCUGCUUAUUUUGGCAGCACUUACAGGGUGUAUUGAAGUUUUUUAUUAUAAACUCGCUCCAGUGUUUCAUCGUACCUGCAAUAUUAAUUUUGUAU
Molecule: long non-coding RNA, 4002 nt
Organism: Balaenoptera ricei (Rice's whale)
Lineage: Eukaryota; Metazoa; Chordata; Mammalia; Artiodactyla; Balaenopteridae
Exons: 16
Source: RefSeq, a predicted model, not a curated record